This 484-nucleotide ribosomal RNA is filed under the name uncultured bacterium. RNAcentral describes it as "partial 16S ribosomal RNA". It matches the Rfam family "Bacterial small subunit ribosomal RNA", at positions 28 to 507 of the family's 1533-position model. The record is from RNAcentral.
AUUGAACGCUGGCGGCAUGCUUUACACAUGCAAGUCGAACGGCAGCGCGGGCUUCGGCCUGGCGGCGAGUGGCGAACGGGUGAGUAAUGCAUCGGAACGUGCCCAGUAGUGGGGGAUAGCCCGGCGAAGGCGGAUUUAAUCCCCAAAAGGACCUGAGGUUGAAAGGGGGGGACCGAAAGGCCUCGGCCUUUUGGACGGCCCGAUGUCGGAUUAGCUAGUUGGUGGGGUAAAGGCUUACCAAGGCGACGAUCCGUAGCUGGUCUGAGAGGACGACCAGCCACACUGGGACUGAGACACGGCCCAGACUCCUACGGGAGGCAGCAGUGGGGAAUUUUGGACAAUGGGGGCAACCCUGAUCCAGCCAUGCCGCGUGCGGGAAGAAGGCCUUCGGGUUGUAAACCGCUUUUGUUCGGGAAGAAAUCCUCUGGGCUAAUACCCCGGGGGGAUGACGGUACCGGAAGAAUAAGCACCGGCUAACUACGUG